GUAGGUGGCAAGCGUUGUCCGGAAUUAUUGGGCGUAAAGCGCGCGCAGGCGGUCCUUUAAGUCUGAUGUGAAAGCCCACGGCUCAACCGUGGAGGGUCAUUGGAAACUGGGGGACUUGAGUACAGAAGUGGAAAGCGGAAUUCCAAGUGUAGCGGUGAAAUGCGUAGAGAUUUGGAGGAACACCAGUGGCGAAGGCGGCUUUCUGGUCUGUAACUGACGCUGAGGCGCGAAAGCGUGGGGAGCAAACAGGGAUUAGAUACCCUGGUAGUCCACGCCGUAAACGAUGAGUGCUAAGUGUUAGGGGGUUUCCCGCCCCUUAGUGCUGCAGCUAACGCAUUAAGCACUCCGCCUGGGGAGUACGCCGCAAGGCUG
RNAcentral lists this ribosomal RNA (372 nucleotides) under uncultured organism. RNAcentral's name for it is "partial 16S ribosomal RNA". It matches the Rfam family "Bacterial small subunit ribosomal RNA", at positions 527 to 896 of the family's 1533-position model. The record is from RNAcentral.